Molecule: ribosomal RNA, 168 nt
Filed under: Eriobotrya bengalensis var. angustifolia
Lineage: Eukaryota; Viridiplantae; Streptophyta; Magnoliopsida; Rosales; Rosaceae
Also listed under: 2 other names
Description: 5.8S ribosomal RNA
Rfam family: 5.8S ribosomal RNA (bases 3-150)
About the family: 5.8S ribosomal RNA (5.8S rRNA) is a component of the large subunit of the eukaryotic ribosome. It is transcribed by RNA polymerase I as part of the 45S precursor that also contains 18S and 28S rRNA.
Source: RNAcentral
CGGCAACGGAUAUCUCGGCUCUCGCAUCGAUGAAGAACGUAGCGAAAUGCGAUACUUGGUGUGAAUUGCAGAAUCCCGUGAACCAUCGAGUCUUUGAACGCAAGUUGCGCCCGAAGCCGUCAGGCCGAGGGCACGCCUGCCUGGGCGUCACACGCCGUUGCCUUCCCC